CGUUAAGAUGAUCGUUGGUCUUUCCUUCAAUUUUCGAAUAUUCGUAUCGUUGAUCGUUUCAUCCUUUCAAACUGAAUCAUCGAAUAUUUCUCCUAACUUUUGAAAUAUCACAUUAAUUUGAACAAAACGAGGUAUAAUAAAUCCGAUAUCGCGGAUCAUCGUGCUGCUUUAACAAUUGAAACGUUAAUUCAAGACAAUAAAUACAAACGUGACGAGAUCGCGUAGCAGUAACGUAAAUCGAUUAAAAGUUUUGCUGGAUCGAAUAAUUGCGAUUACGAUAGAUCGAUUUCGCGAUACUGCUGCGCAUUGAACAGUUGUGCAUCUGGUAAUUAUACCACUGUUCUCCAUGUUACAUCUCGCGAGAGAUUGAUCGAUCGAUUGUACGCGACUAAUUUCGAAACUCUGGCAAAAGACGUGUGUACAAGGAACAGUGGGAAGGAUAGAAAGUACAAGUGAAUUAUUUCUCUUAUAAUAUUCUCGCCGCGGCUCCACAGAUGUGAACGAUAAUAUCGAAUCAGCGUGCAACUCGUUUCCUACAACAGUUGCAAACGGAUCACAAUUUAUCGAAGCAAACGUACUGGCGAUACUAUGUCAUUCUGACAAAGAAGAAUAAAUUAAUCGAAUAAAUUAUUUCGCAUCGUAAAUACCUUAUGAUUGUGUAUACUAUUGACUAACUAUAUUUUGGUGGGUCCAAAGAGUUCUGUUUCGCCAAGUAAAUUGAUACAAAUGGUUUCAAUAGGUUUCCAUUGUUUUCGGCGAAUGAAAGGUUUGAACGAAAAGGCAUAUUCGCGACGUUCUGAGCUCGAGGGCAGCGUGGAUGGAUGCGAAGAAACCCCCAUUAAGUUGUUACGCCGACUUAUCCUCCUGCACGUCGAUUAAUCGCCGUCUCAGUUCGGUGCAACGACAUUUCGCCUUCCUCAUAGGGAGGCAUCUUUCGCCGCUCUUCUUUUUCCGCACGAAAUUUCGCCUCGAGCUUGUAGACGAGAAGCGCCACUCGAAAAAGACGUUCGAUACGAGGAAGAGGUUAGGUCCUCGCCCGCGGUCCCCUCUCGACCGUUCUCGUGAUAGCUGUGAGGGCCGUUUAUUAAGGAAAGGUUUACUCAUUGGGGCCGUCUCUGGGCCGAUUUCUGCGGGUUUUUGACCGCUCUAGGAAUUCAUCCUCCGCGCGGAUGAACGUUACACUUCAUGGUUUCAUGGCCCAUUCCACGCCUUCCAAAAUUUUGUCCCGAGGAAAGGGUUCAUUUCGAAAGAAUUCUUUUCCUGCGUCUCGAACUUCUCUGAAAAUGAAGGGAUUCUGGAGGUGCGAGAGAUGGUAC
This 1316-nucleotide long non-coding RNA is filed under the name Apis florea (little honeybee). RNAcentral's name for it is "uncharacterized LOC116414854, transcript variant X1". Lineage: Eukaryota; Metazoa; Arthropoda; Insecta; Hymenoptera; Apidae. The record is from RNAcentral.